ACCUGGGUGGCUCAGUCCGUUGGGCAUCUGACUUUGGCUCAGGUCAUGAUCUCAUAGUUUGUGGGUUCAAGCCCCACAUCAGGCU
RNAcentral lists this transfer RNA (85 nucleotides) under Felis catus (domestic cat). It matches the Rfam family "tRNA". From Rfam's summary of the family: Transfer RNA (tRNA) molecules are approximately 80 nucleotides in length. Their secondary structure includes four short double-helical elements and three loops (D, anti-codon, and T loops). Lineage: Eukaryota; Metazoa; Chordata; Mammalia; Carnivora; Felidae. The record is from Rfam by way of RNAcentral.